UGUUAUUAUUAUUCUCCAUAAAGGACUUUGGGAAAAGAUCCCUCAUUCUAGGGAUGAAGAUAUAUAGAGAUAGAUCUAAGAGGCUGCUUGAGUUUUUUCAGUCCAAUGUAUAUAGAGUGUUUAUGAGUAGAAUUUGUUCUAUCAUAUAUACCAUGUAUGAGAUCGGAUAUAGUACACUCACUAAGGUAGUGAGUGGAUA
Molecule: long non-coding RNA, 199 nt
Filed under: Elaeis guineensis (African oil palm)
Lineage: Eukaryota; Viridiplantae; Streptophyta; Magnoliopsida; Arecales; Arecaceae
Description: long non-coding RNA (EGUI_LNC031704)
Source: RNAcentral